UGGGGAAUAUUGGGCAAUGGGCGAAAGCCUGACCCAGCAAUGCCGCGUGGGUGAAGAAGGUCUUCGGAUUGUAAAGCCCUUUCGGCGGGGACGAUGAUGACGGUACCCGCAGAAGAAGCCCCGGCUAACUUCGUGCCAGCAGCCGCGGUAAUACGAAGGGGGCUAGCGUUGCUCGGAAUUACUGGGCGUAAAGGGCGCGUAGGCGGCUGUAUCAGUCAGGCGUGAAAUUCCUGGGCUCAACCUGGGGGCUGCGCUUGAUACGGUACGGCUUGAGGACAGGAGAGGCUCGUGGAAUUCCCAGUGUAGAGGUGAAAUUCGUAGAUAUUGGGAAGAACACCGGUGGCGAAGGCGGCGAGCUGGCCUGUAACUGACGCUGAGGCGCGACAGCGUGGGGAGCAAACAGG
Molecule: ribosomal RNA, 404 nt
Filed under: uncultured bacterium
Lineage: Bacteria
Description: bacterial SSU rRNA
Rfam family: Bacterial small subunit ribosomal RNA
Source: RNAcentral